AUGAGCGCUGGCGGCGUGCCUAAUACAUGCCAGUCGAGCGCACAGACGAGGAGCUUGCUCCUCUGACGUUAGCGGCGGACGGGUGAGUAACACGUGGAUAACCUACCUAUAAGACUGGGAUAACUUCGGGAAACCGGAGCUAAUACCGGAUAAUAUAUUGAACCGCAUGGUUCAAUAGUGAAAGACGGUUUUGCUGUCACUUAUAGAUGGAUCCGCGCCGCAUUAGCUAGUUGGUAAGGUAACGGCUUACCAAGGCAACGAUGCGUAGCCGACCUGAGAGGGUGAUCGGCCACACUGGAACUGAGACACGGUCCAGACUCCUACGGGAGGCAGCAGUAGGGAAUCUUCCGCAAUGGGCGAAAGCCUGACGGAGCAACGCCGCGUGAGUGAUGAAGGUCUUCGGAUCGUAAAACUCUGUUAUUAGGGAAGAACAAAUGUGUAAGUAACUAUGCACGUCUUGACGGUACCUAAUCAGAAAGCCACGGCUAACUACGUG
Molecule: ribosomal RNA, 496 nt
Filed under: uncultured bacterium
Lineage: Bacteria
Description: partial 16S ribosomal RNA
Rfam family: Bacterial small subunit ribosomal RNA
Source: RNAcentral